Neolamprologus brichardi is the source of this 669-nucleotide non-coding RNA. NCBI's taxonomy places the organism in Eukaryota, Metazoa, Chordata, Actinopteri, Cichliformes, Cichlidae. The record is from RefSeq and is a predicted model, not a curated record.
GAGGUAUAAAAACGCAAAGGCUUGGUCUCCUGUUUCAUUCACGUUUUCUCUACCAAGAAGAACAGAAUCCCCUCCAUCAUGAAGAAACUGUGCGUCGCAGUUGUCGGAGUUUUGCUGCUGGCUUUCCAUCUCACAUCACAGGUGGCCCUGGUGAAUAACGGCACUAAUCCGGACAACACAAACGUCACCACCCCGAGCUCCACGGGGGCUGGUUGUGGGACUACCGCCGCCUUCAUGGUGCUGCUCCCCCCGCUGGCUCUGACCGCUCUUCUCCUCCACCGGUCCUGAUUGAGUGGACUGACCGCGCUGGACACAAAAGCCAGCACAGGUUACACUGUGGAUCCAGUGCUGGCUUAGUCUAAAUACACUAAUCUCUCAAUCCACCCACCCACCCACCCAAAAACAGCCAAAAACGCGUUUUGGAAUUAAAUUUCAAGUGCUGGGUGGGAAAACUUGUCUUAAAAGGCGACGCUCACUUGCAUUCUGCUCUAUCCUCUGUACUGGCUCUGCAAGGACUCUGAAUACUUUGGCACCACACCGGCCCUUUUACUCCUGCGUGCAGUGGGAGAACACCUCAGACUCGUGUACAGUGACAGUCUUUGAUUCUGGUGUGACUUGAACUGUUUAUUUUUAUGUAGAUUAAAUAAAGCUUUAAAUUGUGAGUCCACA